UGGUUUUGGAAUCGCUAAAAAGGGGAACAGAGGUUUACCUAGUGAGAGCAUUGCUAGACUUUGUUGGACGACUCAUGGGUCUAGGGUCACAUCGGGAAAGAGAACCUGACUAGAUGGUAGCAUCAUUGCUUUGAAUCGGUAUAGGAGCACAGAAAUGGUGAUUGCUUGUGAAGAGAUCUGCACUUAGUGAACUGAUUCGACAAAGGGAUAGUGAAGAGGCUUCUAGAAUGCAGAGGAUCUAAGGAGUUUUUGUCUAGGCUGGUCUGAUUUUUGUUUUCUUUUCUAAAGUUUCAUUUUUUUUCCUUUUUCUUUGUUUUUAUCGGUUUCGGGCCUCCUGGUUUUGGGUGGACAUAUUGGGUCAGACUUGUUAUUUUGCUUUCCAUAACAAUAUCCAACCUAAAUAUAUUUAAAAAAUAUAUAAAAUUAUGAAAAUAAAAUAAAUAAAAUUUUUAUUAAAUAAAAUAAAAUUAUAAAAACUAAAAAAUAUAAAUAGAAAACUAAAAAAUAUAACAUUUGUUAAAAAAAUAAAAAGAAAAGAAAAAGACAACUGGAUGUGAAAAAGGGGUGCCGCCCCCUUCUAUGGCU
RNAcentral lists this long non-coding RNA (585 nucleotides) under Gossypium barbadense (sea-island cotton). RNAcentral's name for it is "long non-coding RNA (GBAR_LNC022273)". Lineage: Eukaryota; Viridiplantae; Streptophyta; Magnoliopsida; Malvales; Malvaceae. The record is from RNAcentral.